UUUUGACAUUGCUGUUAUUUUCUCUUUCCAGGUACCCCAAAGACAGGUGGUGGCUGAACUCAGAGCAACUGGCUCAUGGCAACCCCCAGCAAACCCUAGCCGGAGUUCCUCACCUGCAGAGCAGCGAGCAGAAGGGAAAGCUGGACCAGAACCGACAGGUUGGCCACCCUGCUGCACUCACCCUCUGUCAAACUCGGCCACGUCCCUCAGCUGUCCCCGGUGUUCAAAACCCACUGCUGGGAGACAACAGGAAAGAUGAAACACUCAGCAUCCUCACCAGUCCCUGAGGAGGAGAGAUGGCUAGCAGACACCAGCACCCUUUCUGGACCAAGAUGAUGAUGUGUCAAGGUACAAAAGUGUGCUAGGUUCAGAGAUUUUUGCCUAAAUAGCUGUAAUUUCCAGCAUGGGAUGGGGGCCAAAGGGAAUCCACCGAGGCAAUCAGGCUCUCCAGCAGCCUGGCAGCUCCUUGGUCCACAAUGGAAAUUAAUCACUGAACUCAGGGAAGCACACCUUAAAUGAAAAAAACAAACACCACCGACUUUGUUGAGGCAUCACCUUAAAUGGAAAAAAUCAAACGCCACAACUAUGCACGUCCAGCCUGUUGAAAUGACAGUGUAAUUAAAACUUAAUGAAAAGCGCCAUUUAUCAAUGAGUUUUAUUAACCUUGUCUAAAACCAUUUGGACAAAUUAAAACUCCUCUUGGUCUUUUCCUGCCAGGCUAAAAGCUGCGAGUCACGAAACAAAUCAAUAAUGCUGGCCACAUUGGUUCUUUGUUCGGGGCAGAAGAAAGCUCUGCUGCUGGAAAGCUUCAGCUGGCACAGCUUCAGCCACUGUGACACUGCUCCUGGCCCCUGCCAGGGCCCCUGCUGGCCAGCCCAAAAGACAUUGCCAGGGUGCUUACAUGGGCACAUAAAGAAUGCUCCCAAAAGCCUA
Taeniopygia guttata (zebra finch) is the source of this 933-nucleotide long non-coding RNA. RefSeq lists it as uncharacterized. The record is from RefSeq and is a predicted model, not a curated record. NCBI's taxonomy places the organism in Eukaryota, Metazoa, Chordata, Aves, Passeriformes, Estrildidae.